Molecule: long non-coding RNA, 7454 nt
Organism: Neofelis nebulosa (Clouded leopard)
Lineage: Eukaryota; Metazoa; Chordata; Mammalia; Carnivora; Felidae
Exons: 5
Source: RefSeq, a predicted model, not a curated record
CUGCGAGGAAGCCCCAGAAACCCUGUCCUCACUGGCUAGUCCCUGCCCCAGUCACCUUGGAGACCCCAGCGCCCUGAGGCCCCCUGGCUGCCGUUGGAAGGCGUUGGCCACUCUCCUCCUCGCUUCCUGCCGUUGAGUUGGGUUCGUUGCUCGAGGAUCACGUGUUGCUCCUGCAGGCCCAUGGGGAGGCUCAGCGGAGUUGCAGAGCCCCAAACCUGAACUGUUGCCAAGACCUUGAACCAUAUAUUCUUGUGGUGACAGUGGCCUUAGGGGAAAAUAUUCUCUCUCCGGGGUGACUAGGUCAGAGCGGCGCAAGCCUUCUUAAAUAAUGCAACUGACCUAUGUGGUGGCCUUUGGAGGGACCACGGUAGUGGUAACUAGAGAAGACUUACCGCAGUCCUCAGCGACCCAGAGGAAAAGAGGGCGUGACAUCAUUGGAUAGUCACUUCUGAUCUCAGGGACACAUGUGGACUCAGAAGAAAAUCACUUCUUCCUUUCUCCUCAAUUAGCACCCUGUCUCUGUAAGGGGCCUGGAAAGUAGAGAUGAUAUUGAAGGUAACUAAAAAGCAGUCCAGAUAUAAUUUUAAGGGCUAUUAAGAAUUUGGGAUCCAAUCUUGAGACUGAAUACCCUUCGGUAUGCAAGGUCUGGAGAGGGGUAUCAGAGUUGCUGGAGUCCUGGGUGGAGGGUGUUAUGUGAUAUUCAUUGUUAAGCAGGUAGUCACUGUAAAUGGCAUCUCCAUGGUCUGCUUAGAUGUUCUUCCUAAUCGGAAGGAUACUGGAUGUAUGAUCAGUUGUACGUCCAUGUUCUAAAAUGGAAAAGUCUUGUUUGGUGAUUUGCUUCUUUUGUCUCUUAGCUCUUCCCUCCGUGUUAUCAUCACCGAAGUGCCUAAAGUUAGCAUGAGCUGUUUGUUCCACACUGAAAACCUGCCUUCUGUGGUGCUGGGCUAGGUGGUAAAGAGUGCUGGAUUCUGGUGGGAACCUGCAGUUGAAUUCCUAAGUAUCCUAAGUUCUGUCCCUUCCUCCAACUGUGAGAUCAUCUGAUGAGGCCAAAAGCCUCUGAAACCCAAAUUAGAGCUGGCAAGAGGGAGCUUGCUGAGGUAUCAGCCCUGCCGGAGACGGGAAAAUGGGGCAGGGACUUGACGAACUGGUGGUGAGGUGGAACAAGGUUUCUUCCCCAGCUUCUGGGUGCUGGUUGGGGCCUUUGCUCUCUCUUGAAAAGAGGACCCGGUGCUGCCUCUUUGGAGCAGAGUGCUGAAAGACAAAAGGCCGGUUGUUCCCAUGUCGCACGAGGAUGCACACUGUUGAAAAGUGUCAGUUCCUCUGUUGAUGGUAACUGGAAGAACUUCUGGGGUGACUUUGAAGGAGCCAGAGAAUAGGUUAGAAAACACACGAAGAGAAAUUUCUCGUCCCUCGGGAUAAGGCAAGAGGGAAAGGGAAUUAAUUACUUCUAUUUACUGGACCUGUCGGCCUUGCCUUUUUGGAUAGGCACAGGAUCCUCUUCUUCUUAGCUUUCUACUUAGGCAGAAACUCUGUGAAAGAUAAGUUAACAUUGAGGAAAGGGCACAAACUUAGAAGAAAGAGAAGGCUGUGGCAGAAGCAAGAAAACCAGAAGCAAAACCUCCUCCCCUCUGUGUGUUUCCUUCUUUCUUCCCUCCUUUCCUUCCUAAAAACACGGGAGUGUCUACUGCAUGCCAAGUUCUAGCUAGGUACUGAGGAUAGAAGAUGAGAAAGACUCAUUCCUGGCUCCAGAAGAGCUCAUACGUAGUGGGGAGAUAAUGUCAUGGCUGACUGUAGGGCGUGGGGGUGAGAAGUGGCCUUCUGAGGACUGCCUUUUCUGUGUAUGUAAGGAGGGGGCUAAGAAAACAAGAGACCCCUAGAGUGGGUUCUGAAGUUACCUUUGUAAUUGCUACAGGGCUGAGGGUGGAGGACCAGGCAACACACAUAUACAGAGGAUUCAUACUGUCCUUGUGGCUUCUCUUUGGAUGGUAGCUGGGGUGGUGGUAAGAGGGACUGAAUGGGAGUCUGAAGUGAAUCAGGGAUGCCAUGCUUCCUGUGUCCCCCGUGCCACACUCAGAGGCACAGUGGCAGGGGUAAUGUUAUCAGCUCUCCCCUCGCUGAAGUAGCUGUGUGCUGCUGUGAGUUGUCCGGCUGCAAUUCACCUUGAGUCCUUCCUUGGUCAUCACGCUAUGUGCACAAGGGAGAGCAAGGAAGUUGAGAGAUCUGAAAAAUACAAAACGAGGAAGAACGAAGAAACACCCUUAUCCCAAAAUAACAGCGGCAAAACUGAAGAAAAACAUUUUGGUGUCCUGUUUUUAGGUCCCGGAUGUCCAGGAAGCCCAAGGACCAGAGAGCAAAUAAUGCUCUGAUUGGAGAAUCUUCGACUGACAUUUAAGGGCAGGUUAAGGGCCUCUGCUGAGGCUGGGGGAGAAACAGAACAAAAAGCUCCAAGGUUUUCACCCUUUGAUGAGAGAACCUCUGUGGGGGGAAGUGCUUUUGUGCAGGGAUUUAAAAACUUCCAUAUUCUUAACAGGUGCAAGGUACAGAGGGUUCUCAGAAUGUAGGUCUCCUGAGGGAGUCGUGUUUGUUGUAAAUCUAGGUUUGCUUUGCAAAUCAGGCAUUGAAGAGUAGCUGUAAGUUUCCAGAGUUUGGGGAUGUCACCAGAUUGGUAGGUCCUAACUGGACCUGGGAGACCUUUCCUACAUGGUUUAUUUUGAAAGUAUUCACUGCUGUUAAAGCUAAUUGGAGGAGGGACUUAAGGUUGCCUGGCCACAGCCUGAAAGAACCUGGAAUUAAGGCAGUAUCUGGAUAGAUACUCCAACCCAUAGACACAAAGCCAGGUGAAGAGCAUUGACUCUUAGUGCUGUCAUUUGGCCAGAUGUUUUGAACAGUGUUUGGGGUACUAAGGUCCAGUAAUGACGGCCAGUGCUUUAAGUUGGGUAGAUAUCUUUAGUAAACCACAGUGCCAUAUUUUUCUCAGUUGACAUGGGCCAUUGAAAGCUUUCACAAGAUUGCCACAGUCCUUGGACAGCAUUUGAUUGCCACUGAUCUAGCUCAGCUCUACAGCCUUAGCAACAAGGGCAAGUCAAUAGCUUCCCCAUCUUUGCUUGUUUGAGCAGAUGGCCAAGAAAGGAGUUCUGCAUCAUCAGGAAUAUGGCCUGAACCUUUGCGGAGGUUCUGAAAUUUCUAGCUUACGGAUUGCUUAGGGGUUCUCACCCUGCUUCCCCCAUAGGAGGUAUUUCUCUAUGGCUAUUGAGCAAAUUUCCCAGCGUCUUAAUCUUUUAUAAAGUUUGGAAGUUUGUUUUCUGGCUCUCAUAUUUCCCUUUUGGUGUGUGUAUUGCGUUUUCUCAGAUGAUUUUGGCUCUUCUUCCAACUGACUUUCAGCUGUUCUUUGGGAAAAAGGCCAAUUGACUACAUUGAAAAAACAAACAAAACUAAACAAAACCCCCAAAACCUGUGUGUUUUACCACUUCUGGCAUCUGGGUUUGUUUUGUUUUCCUUUAAAUGGUGGUUAGUUUCUGUACCCAAAGGCCUGUACUUCUAAUGGCAUACUUUAUGGUAUCCUUGCCUGGGAAUAAUGUGUGAUGGGAUACAAUCUGUAGUCUCUCAUGGUCCCCUCAUGCUUGUUUACUUUUUAAAAACCCUUGUUGAGGGGUGCCUGGGUGGCUGAGUCGGUUAAGCAUCCGACUUCAGGUCAUGAUCUCACUGUUCAUGGAUACAAGCCCCACAUCGGGCUCUGUGCCGACAGCUUGGAGCCUGGAGCCUGCUUCAGAUUCUGUGUCUCCCUCUCUCUCUGCCCCUCCCCUGCUCACACACACACUCUCUCUCUCAAAAAUAAAUAAAACAUUUACAAAAAUUAAAAAAUAAAAACCUUGUUGAAAGGGCUUGCCAUUGAAUUCCCCUUGGGUAGCCAGGAAGGACCCCAAUUUCAAAACUGAAAAUAUUAGAUGUGAAGAUGUUUUGAACAAGGAACAAAAAGCCUGUAUUCUAGUGCUGGCACUGCCAUUAUUAUCCAUGUGAACUCUGGCAAAUCUCCAGAUUUCUUUGGGUUGCGGUUUCCUCAUAGGUAAAAUUGGGAUAUUAAUACCUACCUUACAGGGUUGUUAUGAGGAUUAAAUGUGCUCUGUAAGCUGUUGUGCUAUACAAAUAUUUGCGAAAUUUUGUUAUGAUUUAAGAGCCAUUUGAACGUAUUCCAUGACCACAUAGCAGACAUGCUAAUAUUUGUGCUAUCUGAUCAAGGGUCUUCAUGGUCAUAUACUGCAUAUUUAAAUUGCUGGAACAAAAUUUUAUGUUUCUGUAUAAAUGUUUUUGUGUGGAGAGGGCCCAUAGUUUUCACUGGUUUUCUAAAGGGGGUCCAUUAUCCCAAAAAGGUAAAAGUGCUUUAGAAUUGAAAAAGUGAGAUUCAGUAAUGGAAAUAAAUGUAUUGCUUCCAUAACCCCCCCCCCCUCCAGUUAACACAUCUGCAAUAGAAGUUGCAAUGCUUUUUGGAUAGCGAAAUUGCUAAUGUGGCCUAGUACAAAACAUUUGAAAUUGGGACAGAAAAUCUUGGCCAUAUGGUCAUGGUAGCCAUUAGGCUAUCCAAUUGCCUGCCGUGUGAAGGUGGAGGUAAAACGAACUAUUAGCUAUGUGGCCCUGAGAAAGUCACCUUACCUCGUGGAGUCUGUUACCUCAUUUGUAAAGUGAAGGAUUUGACUUAAAGAUUUCCAAAGUUCCUAGUCUGAAUUCUCUAGGGAAGUGAGAUCAAAGCUGGACUUGGAUGGAGCCCUUUGCGGCAGAAAUGAAUGGGGCUUUGUGUAAGAGGAGAAAGGAGGAGUGUCAGGGAGACGAGGAGGGGCAGAGCAUGCAAGGAGCCCCAUUCUUGAUAAAGCUGGGAAGCAAGCCUGCUGAAGGGAAGAGCCAGAGUAAGGGGGGCAGAAAGAGAGCUGGCGGGCUACUCCUGAAGAUCCAAGACUCUGGUGGACCAGAGACUCAACCUCCACAUUUCACCCUGGGUCUGACUUGCCAGAACACAGGUGAUCCUCAGUGAGCAAAUCCUCUGCACUCACAGAACUUGCAGUUCUCUCAGGAGCAAAGGCCUGGAGUCUUCCCUCUUCCCACAUCAGGUGGUUUGGCUGCUUCAGGAAAAUGCUGCCCUCCAAAUGCCUCAAGACACAAGUUCUGAAAUUGUCCCCCCUCACCCCCUUCCCUCUUUUCCAUUGGGUUGGGAAGCCAUUGCUGACACAUGGAUCGGACAAAGUACAAUUUAGCCACUGUUACAGGUUCAGAUGAUAUGUUGAAGAUCUAACCUCGGGUAUCUCAGAAUAGAUGUACUCUCAAAAACCUGGACCUGGGUGACUGAGAAGACACGCAUACAAUUAUACCAGCACAAGAAACCCUGGAAACAAUCCAAACGUUCAUCAUCGGCCAGAGAAUAAAAUAAAAACAAGUCAUAUCGGAGGUGCAGUGACUUGCUCAAGGACCCAGAAAAAGUAAAUUGCAGGACUAGAGGUCAAAGUCAGCUCUUGUGAUGCCAGAUCCUGGACUUCUGCUCUAGUGCUGUCACAGCUAUAAAGAAAAAACCUUCACUACGUAUUUUCCAUUAUAACUUCAUUUCUGAUUUUAUCUGAAAUGUUACCAGAUUUUGUCAGUACUCCGCUUACUUCUUUCAUUUUAUCUGAUCAUGUAGGCUUGCUCAAACUAACUUUCAAUGAACCAGGGCAUAAACUGAAAAAAAACUUCAAUACCCACAAAAAAAGAAAUUGUGUUGAUGUUUUAUAUUCCCAUCCAGUUCUGGGCUUUGAAACCGCAUCUUUAUCCAACUGUGAUGUUAAGGGAUAUAUAAUUUUGCAUAUUGUUAAUUUCUUUGAAUGCUCCAACAGGAACAUGCUUUUGUGUUGCUCCAGUCUUUUUGAUGAUGGUUUUCCAUGACUGUAUUUUUUUCUGUAAAGGAGACAAGGCCAUUCCCACACCAUUGGACAUUCAGACUGGUUCUUCACUGGUUUUCCAAGGCUAGUGGACCAUGAGGGUCCUGUAGGAUUUCUCACUACCCCAAGCCUUCCCACUAGAGCUUUCUUUCACUGCCUUCACAUCUCGUCCAUCCCAUUCUAGGGGGAUGGGUAUUGGAUAUGUGUCAACUGGGACCUCAUUCAGGGUUCUUUACUCAGAUAAUUGCAUGCCUUUUCCACUUUUACCAAGUCAGGCUCUAGUCCCUAAAUCCCUAGGUCUUUGUUAGGUAAAUCACCUCAAAACCCAUUUUGGAACAAAGUAUGGUAUAAAUAAAGAGAGUGAAUAGACUUCCUGGGAGGAUAAGGAUUCUGCUUCCAAAUGAUCCAACACUACUGUGCAAAACGAGUGAUUUCCUGCUUAUAACAAUUGCAUGUGUUAAUCUGUUAGGUGCUGGUAUAAACAAUAAGGUGUAUAGUUUAACCCAAGGCCUGGGAACAAAGGUCUCUUUCUCUUUUACUUUAGAAAAGGUGAUGGAUUCAGAAGAAAUAGCUUUGAGGGAGGCACUGUAGGGAAGCGGUUUUAAGCACACAGGAUAAUGAGCCAGUUGGAUCUGGAUUCUUCUCCCAACCCUGCUUUUAAUGGCUGUGAGCCCCUGGGCAAGUUGUUUAUUCUCUAUGAACCAUAGUUUCUACAUCCUUAACUUCCUUAGAGGAUUGUUUAGGGAUUAAAUAAGACCCAGUAUAUAGUGAAGGUGGAGUAAACAUUAAUAUUAUCCUUGGGAUGGUUUCUCUGGAAUUACAAUUUCAAAACUUUUAAUACAAGAUAAUAACACACACAAAAUAACGACACAACUGGAGUGAUCAGAGUUUCCACUGAAGGGUUGUUUUUCACUUUUUCCCAGUGUGAUUUUCAGAAUCAGGAAGAAAAUCAGGCCUCUAACUGUGGAUACAGCCUGCAACUAUGGGCUUAAAUGAAUGAAUGAAUGACUGGAGUGUAGUCUUGGGUAAAUAAUUUAAUUUCCCUGUAUCUCACUUCCUCUUCUGUAGAAUACUGAUUCAUGGAAAACUAAUGGUUUUGGAAAAUCCUCUAGAUAGAGGCUGGGUUUGCAGCCGUGCUUAUGUUGCCCUAUGAAUAUGAAAGUGCUAGCAGCAUAAUUCCUCAAAUCCCACAUCCUGUUUGGUGGCAUUUACCCACCGAUGGAAUAUUUGUGUGUUCGUGUCACAAAAGCCCUUGGAAGAGCCAUUUUCAUUGGGAUCUAACUUGCAGUGAGCUGGCACAUUGGCAGGACAUAAUGCAGGUGUGCUUCGCUUUAGAGAAGACCACAUGCCCACUAAUUUGCAGAUUGGCCUGAAGAAUCAGAGGGAAUGAUCCAGGCAGAGAUUCCAGACACCUCUCUGCUUGCAAGUUGGGCUUUGGCAGGAAUGGUUUCUACUUCCUGGUUGCAUGAUUCAUGCUUGUCCCAUCAAAAAAGGACAUUCUAAAGGAGAACAGUGAUCAAUUAAGAAAGAAAAUAUUAUGGGGCGCCUGAAUGG